CAAUUUUAAUGAUAGGAGUGAUUAUUUGUUUUGCCAUUAUUGAGUUUCAUUACAUAAUUCCUCAACGAUAUUAUACUAUUUCUUCUAAUUAUUAUAUUGCAUCUGAAUUAGAAUUAGAAAAAUGUAUCAAGCGAUGCCGAGAAACUAUUCCAGAACACACGAUAACUAGGAGGUAUUGCAUUAGUAGAUGCUAUGAUCGUUAUGGAGCAAAUUAAUAGUGGUAGGUGCUAAUAAUUUAUUUUAAAUAUUUUUUAGUUUAUACUAUUUAUUACAUAUAUGAAUAUUUGUUGUGUUCUAACUUCUAAGAGUUUAUUUGGGUGAGUUUCUAAAAAAAGAUCUUUUUUCGAGUUAUCUUUUUUUAAAAGAUCUUAUGAAAAAGUAAAAGUAAUUUUAUGUUUAGAUAUUUCAUGUAAAAAGAUCUUUUUUUUUAUCUAUUAAUUAUGUUUGGAUAUAAGUAUAUAACAAUAUAAAAGUACUUUUUUGUUUAUUUAUUACAUGAAAAAUAUCUUUUUUUAAGAAAAAAAAAUCUUUAAAAAAAAAUAUAAAUCACAGUUUCUCAAAAAAGAUGUUUUUUUUUUUAUUUUUUUAGUACUUUUACUUUUACUACUAAAAAUUUACCAAACACGCUAAAAAAUAAAAAAAAAAUCUUUUUUCAUUGAAAAAAUCUUUAUUUUUAUUCAAAUAAUAACGUCCAAACAAAUACUAAGACUUACCUUUUCAAGAUUUUCUAAUCUUCUUUUUUUUUUUUGGGUUACCAGAUGAAGCUUAUGAUGAAAAUCCUCGGAUGCAUAGAUGAAGAACAUUUUAAGAAGUGAUUCAUGUGUUUGAUUUUAAUGGUUUUAAUGCUUUUUUUUUAUUUAAUAUUAUUACUUUUUUUUUUCCUUCUUGUGUAC
Molecule: long non-coding RNA, 893 nt
Filed under: Arachis ipaensis
Lineage: Eukaryota; Viridiplantae; Streptophyta; Magnoliopsida; Fabales; Fabaceae
Description: long non-coding RNA (AIPA_LNC000255)
Source: RNAcentral